CCUCUUAACCUGGCCGGAUCCCACCUCCUGUCUUUUCUGUUUGUCCCGGGUGAGAGGACGGAACAGGCAAGGAAAAAGACUCCCCCGACCCGAGGAAAGCACAGCCUGGCCGCCCACAGCACACCCCCUCCCCACGCAGACAGUGAGGUCACAGGACCCCGAGUUUGUGACCCGGCUGACAGCACCAGCGUGUGGCAGCGGCUGCUGCUCUUUGAGGAGUGCAGGACCCCGGGAUGGCCCGAGACAGGGGGACAGGGCAGGGACGGCCCUCCUCACCCUUGGGCCCUGUGUGAGUCCCCUGCAGCUGCUGUGACAGAGGACUACAGAGAGGGCGGCUGCAAGCGUCACUCCUUGGCUUGAUUUCCUCACCGCCUGGAGAUGUGAAUCAGAAACCCCCGUCCCCCCGGGCCGUGCGCCUUCCGGCCUCUUCUAGAUUCCGGGGUCUCCAGAAUCUGCCGUGGGGCACCUCACCCCCUCUUCGGGGUCUCAAGUCUUUCUGCCUCCCUCCCUUUUAAGGACACUUGCGACCGCACCACAUUCACAGUCCGUGACUUAAUCACACGUGGCCCUUUCCCAAGUAAGGAGCCUGGGGCCUGAGACCUCCCACCGCCCUGCAACAUGCCCGCGGCUCUCCGGGACAGGAACGGGACAACGCCUAACCCAGGAAAGACACCGUCUCAGGUGCACAGGAAGCAGAGCUGAGCAGAGGUCACGGAUAAGUGGUUGCAGAGAGAACACUCAAGACAAGCGCGGUGAGAGCCACCCGGGGGGGCCCCGGGGAGCCGGGCACCCUCCCCAGACAGUGCCGAGAGAGGGGACAAGAGCUCCUGAACCGCUUGGUUUUGCUCCCCGGGAUUUCCUUUUGUUUCUUUGCUCAACAGCCACCACUGAGCCUGUAAUCCCAGCACACAGGAGGCUGAGACAGGCUGGGCUGCAAGGCGAGACCCUGUCUCCAACAAGCAACAAAGCCGUGAUUGCUGCUACUUAGAGGAAAUAAAGACCUGGAAAUGCCUUUAGAAGGAAAGAAAACUCCGCGCUAGACGGAGGCCCGACCCUGUGCCCAGCGGCCGCUGCGUCGGGCCCCCUCGCGGGGUUGAGUGGGCACCGGGGCCAGAGGAAGGGGCCAGAGAAGGUGUCCUCCUCCCAGCCACGCCUUUCCCAGAAAGAGAACUCAGACACCGGGGGCCUCGAGCUUGCCAAAGACCCCUGGGCCCCUCCCCACACAGACACGUAUACCCUGGGGCCAUCGGGCUCUCUGAGGCCCAGGGGCUGCGACCCCUGGCCCCUGACUGGGCCGCUUAGCAGCUGCCCAAAUACAUCCACGUCAGA
Chinchilla lanigera (long-tailed chinchilla) is the source of this 1329-nucleotide long non-coding RNA. RefSeq lists it as uncharacterized. The record is from RefSeq and is a predicted model, not a curated record. The transcript is spliced from 3 exons. Lineage: Eukaryota; Metazoa; Chordata; Mammalia; Rodentia; Chinchillidae.